This 360-nucleotide long non-coding RNA is filed under the name Triticum aestivum (bread wheat). Its description in RNAcentral is "long non-coding RNA (TAES_LNC009635)". The record is from RNAcentral. Lineage: Eukaryota; Viridiplantae; Streptophyta; Magnoliopsida; Poales; Poaceae.
UAGAAUUUUGUAUUCGACCACACUGCCAGAUUAUGAAGUGUCAUAAUACAAGUAUCUGAUUUACCAUCAAUGCACAAUAUGUUGACGGUGUGUCUGUGUGGCUUUCCUUUCCAGUUGACAGCAUUGUUUUUCCAAACGAAACAGUUGCCCAGCUGACUUGAGAAAUAUUUCAACGAAAACUCGUUUGUCCUCUGAAAAAAAAUAGAAUCAUUCAGAAAAAUGUACCAUUUUGGCUCUGCAACAGACAGGAUCAACAAGCAUAUAGCUGGCAUUACAGACCUUCGGAUAACCGACAUCUCAUAUCAAGCACUAGGACUGGGCAAUGACUCUUCCAGCCAAAGCACACACAGGUUAGUCACU